CAGCAGCCACGGUAAUACGAGGGGAGCUAGCGUUGUUCGGAAUUACAGGGCGUAAAGCGCGCGUAGGCGGCUUUUUAAGUCAGAGGUGAAAGCCCGGGGCUCAACCCCGGAAUUGCCUUUGAAACUGGAAAGCUAGAAUCUUGGAGAGGUCAGUGGAAUUCCGAGUGUAGAGGUGAAAUUCGUAGAUAUUCGGAAGAACACCAGUGGCGAAGGCGACUGACUGGACAAGUAUUGACGCUGAGGUGCGAAAGCGUGGGGAGCAAACAGGAUUAGAUACCCCCGUAGUCCCUGUCUCUUAUAC
This 301-nucleotide ribosomal RNA is filed under the name uncultured bacterium. RNAcentral describes it as "partial 16S ribosomal RNA". It matches the Rfam family "Bacterial small subunit ribosomal RNA", at positions 509 to 807 of the family's 1533-position model. The record is from RNAcentral.